This 207-nucleotide ribosomal RNA is filed under the name uncultured bacterium. Its description in RNAcentral is "partial 16S ribosomal RNA". It matches the Rfam family "Bacterial small subunit ribosomal RNA", at positions 568 to 774 of the family's 1533-position model. The record is from RNAcentral.
CUCGUAGGCGGUUCGUCGCGUCCGGUGUGAAAGUCCAUCGCUUAACGGUGGAUCCGCGCCGGGUACGGGCGGGCUGGAGUGCGGUAGGGGGGACUGGAAUUCCCGGUGUAACGGUGGAAUGUGUAGAUAUCGGGAAGAACACCAAUGGCGAAGGCAGGUCUCUGGGCCGUUACUGACGCUGAGGAGCGAAAGCGUGGGGAGCGAACA